Molecule: ribosomal RNA, 419 nt
Filed under: uncultured bacterium
Lineage: Bacteria
Description: bacterial SSU rRNA
Rfam family: Bacterial small subunit ribosomal RNA
Source: RNAcentral
UGGGGAAUAUUGGUCAAUGGACGCAAGUCUGAACCAGCCAUGCCGCGUGGAGGAAGAAGGCCUUCUGGGUUGUAAACUGCUUUUAUCUGGGGAUAAAAAGGCCUUGCGAGGCAAACUGAAGGUACCAGAUGAAUAAGCCACGGCUAACUACGUGCCAGCAGCCGCGGUAAUACGUAGGUGGCAAGCGUUGUCCGGAUUUAUUGGGUUUAAAGGGUGCGUAGGCGGUUUAUUAAGUCAGUGGUGAAAGACGAUAGCUCAACUAUCGAGGUGCCAUUGAUACUGAUGAACUUGAGUGCACACGAGGUAAGCGGAAUGGACGGUGUAGCGGUGAAAUGCAUAGAUAUCGUCCAGAACACCGAUAGUGAAGACAGCUUACCAGAGUGCAACUGACGCUGAGGCACGAAAGUGUGGGGAUCAAA